CGGCUAACUACGUGCCAGCAGCCGCGGUAAUACGUAGGGUGCAAGCGUUAAUCGGAAUUAUUGGGCGUAAAGCGCGCGCAGGUGGUUGGAUAAGUUUGAUGUGAAAGCCCCCGGCUCAACCUGGGAAUUGCAUUUAAAACUGUCCAGCUUGAGUCUAGAAGAGGGGGGUGGAAUUCCAUGUGUAGCGGUGAAAUGCGUAGAGAUAUGGAGGAAUACCAGUGGCGAAGGCGGCCCCCUGGACAAAGACUGACACUGAGGCGCGAAAGCGUGGGGAGCAAACAGGAUUAGAUACCCUGGUAGUCCACGCCGUAAACGAUGUCGAUUUAGAGGCUGUGUCCUUGAGACGUGGCUUCCGAAGUUAACGCAUUAAGUCGACCCCCUGGGGAGUACGGCCGCAAGGCUGAAACUCAAAGGAAUUGACGGGGGCCCGCACAAGCGGUGGAGCAUGUGGUUUAAUUCGAUGCAACGGGAAGAACCUUACCUGGCCUUGACAUGUUUGAAAUCCUGUAGAGAUACGGGAGUGCCUUCGGGAAUCAGAACACAGGUGGUGCAUGGUUGUCGUCAGCUNGUGUCGUGAGAUGUUGGGUUAAGUCCCGCAACGAGCGCAACCCUUGUCCUUUGUUGCCAUCACGUAAUGGUGGGCACUCAAGGGAGACUGCCGGUGAUAAACCGGAGGAAGGUGGGGANGACGUCAAAUCAUCAUGCCCCUUAUGACCUGGGCUACACACGUGCUACAAUGGCGCGUACAGAGGGCUGCAAGCUAGCGAUAGUGAGCUAAUCCCAAAAAACGCGUCGUAGUUCGGAUUGUAGGCUGCAACUCGACUCCAUGAAGUCGGAAUCGCUUGUAAUCGCAAAUCAGCAUGUUGCGGUGAAUACGUUCCCGGGCCUUGUACACACCGCCCGUC
RNAcentral lists this ribosomal RNA (905 nucleotides) under Aeromonas hydrophila. Its description in RNAcentral is "bacterial SSU rRNA". It matches the Rfam family "Bacterial small subunit ribosomal RNA", at positions 494 to 1398 of the family's 1533-position model. Lineage: Bacteria; Pseudomonadati; Pseudomonadota; Gammaproteobacteria; Aeromonadales; Aeromonadaceae. The record is from RNAcentral.